UUUUACGCGUUAGGGAUAGCAGCGGCAUCCUUUUUUACUUGAAAAUGUAAAAAAGAUACAGCGAAUAGCCCGGUCAUUU
This 79-nucleotide small RNA is filed under the name Paracellulophaga tyrosinoxydans. RNAcentral's name for it is "Cellulophaga tyrosinoxydans Flavo-1 RNA". It matches the Rfam family "Flavo-1 RNA". The record is from Rfam by way of RNAcentral. Lineage: Bacteria; Pseudomonadati; Bacteroidota; Flavobacteriia; Flavobacteriales; Flavobacteriaceae.